AGUUGCUAACAGAGUAAAAAGACAGCAGCAGACUGCUUAACUUGCUGGAUACAUUUUCAUAAAAUAUUUUUAUCCUGGAGCAGGACAGAGCAAGGCAUCAAGAAAACAUUUCUGUACCAUGUACCAACAAUUGGAGCUACUUGGAUAAGACUGGGGUUUGUCCUGCCUGUUCACACACCUCAGGCCAGAGGACCUGGAAUAACUUCAUAUUCUCCAUGAGAUUCAACACAGAACUGAUCUGGCCUUUUAGAAGGUUUAUCAGAGUUCUGAGAAUUUAGUUCCUUAACAUUUAAUCCUCAAACACUAAAUGUGAUGGAGCCAAGUGAGGAAGCACAGCUGAGAGCCAACCCUGAGCUCCUGAACACUGCCAGCCAGCCAUCACCUUCAGCACAGGCAAAAGGCAAGUUUCAAGAAAUUUAAAAUCUAAUUGCAUAUGAUGUUUUGUUUUCUUAAUGCAAGUGUUUACUAGCCAUGUUUGUCUGACCAUCCUUUGCCUGGGAUUUUUCCAGUUUGCCUCCAGAUUCGAGGUGCAAGUCUUCCUACAUGAUAAUUAUAUAUCAUCAUUUCAUCUGCUUUUCCUACUGAUCAGCUGCUCAAGAAACACAUGUUUCCCAGAUCAGAAUUUCUAACUCCUAUAUACUUUCUCAUCUUGAAGUCAAAAAGGAAAAAAAAACACCCUGUUUUCAAGGAGCUUUCUGGAAAAGAAAGGGUUGUGUGGAGACCUCACAGCACCUGCCAGGGUCUGAAGGGGACCUCCAGGGAAGUCAGAGAGGGACUCUUCAUGAGGAACUGGAGUGACAGGACAAGGGGCCAUGGCUUCAAACUGGCAGAGGGGCCAGUGACUCUGCAAAAGACUUCCAGGUCAAUUGUCCUGCUCCCCAGCACAAGCAAGAAUUGUGUUUACCUCAGCUUCUGCUAUGAGCUGCAUUUUCCUCGUUAUCACGUGGUCCACAUCAACCCAGCCUAAGGAAGGAAAGCAAAUAUUCAACAUUUUUUGUUGUAUGUCUGAAAACACAAAAAGCACAGCAUACAGUAGUUCAGACACCAAUUUUUCAAUAGCAUUUCUGACUUCUAACAGGGUCCCACUAAACUCAGGUCACAUAAACUGUCACCAUGUAUUUUAGGAUCACAGCACUGUAAGGCAGCCAACAGCUGAGAACAUGCUGGAUUUUAUUUUUCAUCAGCAACUGCAAUUUUUUCCAAGGUCUCUAAACAUAUUUAGCCUUGAAGCAGUAAUCAGAAUGACCCUUAGAAGGUCAUUUCCAAGUGUCCUCAUUUUUUAUCAGGGUUUUAUCUUAACCAGACGUAAGCUUGGUUUGUCUGGAGGCCUCUACAUUGCCAACAGACAAGGCAGUCAGCCACAGCUAUUGGUAAAACACCAUGAUCAGCUCUGAGACAGGCUGAAUGGCAAGGUGGACAGUUAUCCUGUGUUCAAAAUUCCCACUCCUUUUAUCCCCCAGGAGAAGUGCUAGAUAUCAGUGUGACUGUAUUCCUUAAUGUGUUUGACUGUUUAAGUAAACAGCCAGGUUUAACAUGCCAUCAAUAUAAUCUGACUUUUGUCAUUACUCGCACCAUUGGCCAAUAGGUAAAGCUUCAAAUGCCACCUUUCUUUCACAUUAAAACUCUGUGACAUCAAGAGGAACAACACCCAUAGGUCAGACAUUUCAGACUAGUUGUGUUUUAGGACCACCACCAGCUGGUGUUUCACUUCUCCAAUAACAACAACACAGAAGAUAAAGUUACUUAAAACAGAGAGUCUUGCACAUGAAGGAAAAUCAAGGUUGAAGCAGCAGCAUCCAUCCCCCUAAAAUACCAGUCAGAGUGAAAAGAUAGCAGCAAACCUUGCCUUCUUAUCCUUUGGCAUUUAUAGCUACAGCACCACCUUACACACAGCCAGCAUUACAACUUGCAUGUUGGGUUUCUAAGACAACAUUAACACUUUUAGAAAAGAAGGUACUGAAGUGAUUCCCUAAUAAGAUUCCAGAUUUGCUGUAGAGGUGCCAAAGUUGUGCUGCUGUGAGACAAGAAAACAGACUGAGAGCACUACCACAGGGCAUAAUGUGACCUCCUUGUAUGAGAACAGCCUCUAAACACAAAGCAGUUUCAUUUUCAGAGCAGAAGUGCUUCUGUGCUGCUCAGGAGCCUCACUCAGCCUGUUUGAGCAACUGGCUUUAAGUAUUUUAGGCAGGCCUGCUUCAGAGGUGCUCCAAUUCCAGUACUGGAAAAGAGUACAACACCACAAGAAACUUUCUCUUCAGCGUAGCUAUGAUCAGUUGUUAGCAUUAAUUCCCCUUCCCACUGAUCAACCAGGAAUUUUGAUUUUUGUCUGCAGGAAUUUUGGUUUUUUCCCAUCUGCUACAGAAGCUGUAGAUUUAAGGACAGAGCAGCAACAACUGCCUAUCACUUAGCAGACUUCUGAUGUAACAACAAACAAAGGAACUGCUUAACACCAUUGAUUUUGGCUGCCUCCAAGAUCCCUUUUUACAAAAAUAGAACUCCUGGUUGCUAAGCAUCUCACCUCCAAGACAAAAAUAAAAACAACCAAACACCUCAGCAUUUAAGCUCAUUGUGCUGUUACAUUUGCAGAACAACAGCAGUUUGGAAAACAAUUUGAGAAGAAUGUAAGAUGCCCUUUACCAACUCAGCUCAUGCACUUUGUUGGUCUCAAAUAGGUUCACCUCCAAUAAAUUAAAAAAAAAAAAAGUGAAGUUGUUCCACAAGUAGCAGAA
Long non-coding RNA from Passer domesticus (house sparrow), 2729 nucleotides. RefSeq lists it as uncharacterized. NCBI's taxonomy places the organism in Eukaryota, Metazoa, Chordata, Aves, Passeriformes, Passeridae. The record is from RefSeq and is a predicted model, not a curated record. The transcript is spliced from 2 exons.